UACGAAGGGGGCUAGCGUUGCUCGGAAUGACUGGGCGUAAAGGGCGCGUAGGCGGCUUGUUUAGUCGGAUGUGAAAUUCCUGGGCUUAACCUGGGGGCUGCAUACGAGACGUAUGGGCUUGAGUGCGGAAGAGGGUCGUGGAAUUCCCAGUGUAGAGGUGAAAUUCGUAGAUAUUGGGAAGAACACCGGUGGCGAAGGCGGCCAACUGGUCCGGUACUGACGCUGAGGUGCGAAAGCGUGGGGAGCAAACAGG
RNAcentral lists this ribosomal RNA (253 nucleotides) under uncultured bacterium. Its description in RNAcentral is "partial 16S ribosomal RNA". It matches the Rfam family "Bacterial small subunit ribosomal RNA", at positions 524 to 776 of the family's 1533-position model. The record is from RNAcentral.